CAUGACAGCUGGGGACGUCGGGGGUGGUGGCCAACAACAGCCAAGCCUGUGCACAGUUCCUGGAGCAGUAUUUCCACCAGGCUGACCUGGCUGAGUUCAUGCAGCUCUUUGGUAGCAGCUUUGCCCAUCGCUCCC
This is a long non-coding RNA of Calypte anna (Anna's hummingbird), 135 nucleotides long. RefSeq lists it as uncharacterized. The record is from RefSeq and is a predicted model, not a curated record. The transcript has 2 exons. Lineage: Eukaryota; Metazoa; Chordata; Aves; Apodiformes; Trochilidae.